GGCUCUGUAGCUCAGUUGGUAGAGCACGAGACUGAAAAUCUCGGUUGUCGGCGGUUCGAUUCCGCCCGGAGCCACCA
RNAcentral lists this transfer RNA (77 nucleotides) under Candidatus Altarchaeales archaeon. Its description in RNAcentral is "tRNA-Phe". It matches the Rfam family "tRNA". Rfam says of the family: Transfer RNA (tRNA) molecules are approximately 80 nucleotides in length. Lineage: Archaea; Nanobdellati; Candidatus Altarchaeota; Candidatus Altarchaeia; Candidatus Altarchaeales. The record is from RNAcentral.